AUGCAGCCCGACUUGAACGGAGCUCAUUUUUUGUGGUUGGAAAAGCAAGGGCAAAAAUAGCGGGAGUGGAAGGCGGAAAAGCU
This 83-nucleotide unclassified non-coding RNA is filed under the name Epilithonimonas zeae. RNAcentral's name for it is "Chryseobacterium zeae Flavo-1 RNA". Lineage: Bacteria; Pseudomonadati; Bacteroidota; Flavobacteriia; Flavobacteriales; Weeksellaceae. The record is from RNAcentral.